GAUCCGGUGGGCGAAUGGUUAAGCCACGAGGCUUUCAACCUCGUAAUUGCGGGUUCGAGUCCCGUCCGGAUCUCCA
This 76-nucleotide transfer RNA is filed under the name Pseudomonadota bacterium. RNAcentral describes it as "Proteobacteria bacterium tRNA-Glu". It matches the Rfam family "tRNA". From Rfam's summary of the family: Transfer RNA (tRNA) molecules are approximately 80 nucleotides in length. Their secondary structure includes four short double-helical elements and three loops (D, anti-codon, and T loops). The record is from RNAcentral. Lineage: Bacteria; Pseudomonadati; Pseudomonadota.